CAGCAGCCGCGGUAAUACAGAGGGUGCGAGCGUUAAUCGGAUUUACUGGGCGUAAAGCGUGCGUAGGCGGCUAAUUGAGUCGGAUGUGAAAUCCCCGAGCUUAACUUAGGAAUUGCAUUCGAUACUGGGAAGCUAGAGUAUGGGAGAGGAUGGUAGAAUUCCAGGUGUAGCGGUGAAAUGCGUAGAGAUCUGGAGGAAUACCGAUGGCGAAGGCAGCCAUCUGGCCUAAUACUGACGCUGAGGUACGAAAGCAUGGGGAGCAAACAGGAUUAGAUACCCGUGUAGUCCCUGUCUCUUAUAC
RNAcentral lists this ribosomal RNA (301 nucleotides) under uncultured bacterium. RNAcentral's name for it is "partial 16S ribosomal RNA". It matches the Rfam family "Bacterial small subunit ribosomal RNA", at positions 509 to 807 of the family's 1533-position model. The record is from RNAcentral.